AGUAAAAUGGCUGAUAAAAAGUGAUAAAUUGUAAAUUUAUUUAUAAAUAGAAAUAUUUUUUUACUA
This 66-nucleotide transfer RNA is filed under the name Cheumatopsyche charites. Its description in RNAcentral is "tRNA-Tyr". The record is from RNAcentral. Lineage: Eukaryota; Metazoa; Arthropoda; Insecta; Trichoptera; Hydropsychidae.